RNAcentral lists this unclassified non-coding RNA (258 nucleotides) under Hevea brasiliensis (rubber tree). The record is from RNAcentral. Lineage: Eukaryota; Viridiplantae; Streptophyta; Magnoliopsida; Malpighiales; Euphorbiaceae.
GGGCCAGACAUGCCAAUGAAGCUAAAACUAGGGACUUGAACAUAACACCAUGUGGCAUGCACCCCUUGUCAUUGCGGAAGAAGAGAGCUUGGUACACCGGCAAGUUAACCAUAAUCACGAAUCCGCAGAGAAUAACCUGAGGCAUCAACAUUUCUAGAGUCUUGAAAUCCAUCUCUAAAUCAGUAACCCUCUUCGCCAUCGCCCCAACAAAACUGAAAAGGUUUAGCAUUGCUAGUGUUGCUAUAAUGGUGAACAUUG